AUACAUGCAGUCGAACGCUUCUUUUUCCACCGGAGCUUGCUCCACCGGAAAAAGAGGAGUGGCGAACGGGUGAGUAACACGUGGGUAACCUGCCCAUCAGAAGGGGAUAACACUUGGAAACAGGUGCUAAUACCGUAUAACAAUCGAAACCGCAUGGUUUUGAUUUGAAAGGCGCUUUCGGGUGUCGCUGAUGGAUGGACCCGCGGUGCAUUAGCUAGUUGGUGAGGUAACGGCUCACCAAGGCGACGAUGCAUAGCCGACCUGAGAGGGUGAUCGGCCACAUUGGGACUGAGACACGGCCCAAACUCCUACGGGAGGCAGCAGUAGGGAAUCUUCGGCAAUGGACGAAAGUCUGACCGAGCAACGCCGCGUGAGUGAAGAAGGUUUUCGGAUCGUAAAACUCUGUUGUUAGAGAAGAACAAGGAUGAGAGUAACUGUUCAUCCCUUGACGGUAUCUAACCAGAAAGCCACGGCUAACUACGUGCCAGCAGCGGCCCGGGUAAUAAA
This 507-nucleotide ribosomal RNA is filed under the name Enterococcus hirae. RNAcentral's name for it is "bacterial SSU rRNA". It matches the Rfam family "Bacterial small subunit ribosomal RNA", at positions 51 to 527 of the family's 1533-position model. The record is from RNAcentral. Lineage: Bacteria; Bacillati; Bacillota; Bacilli; Lactobacillales; Enterococcaceae.